Molecule: long non-coding RNA, 267 nt
Filed under: Eurytemora carolleeae
Lineage: Eukaryota; Metazoa; Arthropoda; Copepoda; Calanoida; Temoridae
Description: uncharacterized LOC111714092
Source: RNAcentral
UUAUUCCUAUUCUGAACACUGGAAUACUUUUCUCAGGGCUUAUAAAGAUUCUUGGGAUGAACAGGGAUUUGGUGUUUUCCCUUCUUCAUCUUUUCACUGAUAUUCUUAGUCUUCACUUCUUCCAUCUAGUGCGUAACACUGGUUCCUGGUUGCAGAUAGGGUCAAGCCUUAGUCACUUUAUAAUUGUUGAGGGAACCAGCGUUUUCUUGUUAGUUCUUCUUCGUCUCUCUGAUAACAUACUGAGCCUAGGCACCAGAACCAAGUUCA